Molecule: ribosomal RNA, 251 nt
Filed under: uncultured prokaryote
Description: partial 16S rRNA
Rfam family: Bacterial small subunit ribosomal RNA
Source: RNAcentral
ACGGAGGGUGCAAGCGUUGUUCGGAAUUACUGGGCGUAAAGCGCGUGUAGGCGGACUCAGAAGUCGGGUGUGAAAGCCCCGGGCUUAACUCGGGAAGUGCGCUCGAAACCAUGGGUCUUGAGAACCGGAGGGGAUCGGGGAAUUCCCAGUGUAGAGGUGAAAUUCGUAGAUAUUGGGAGGAACACCGGUGGCGAAGGCGCCGAUCUGGACGGUUUCUGACGCUGAGACGCGAAAGCGUGGGUAGCAAACAG